CCUACGGGAGGCAGCAGUGAGGAAUAUUGGUCAAUGGACGAGAGUCUGAACCAGCCAAGUAGCGUGAAGGAUGACUGCCCUAUGGGUUGUAAGCUUCUUUUAUAUGGGAAUAAAAUGUUCCACGUGUGGGAUUUUGUAUGUACCAUAUGAAUAAGGAUCGGCUAACUCCGUUCCAGCAGCCGCGGUAAUACGGAGGAUCCGAGCGUUAUCCGGAUUUAUUGGGUUUAAGGGGAGCGUAGGCGGCUUGUUAAGUCAGUUGUGAAAGGUUGCGGCUCAACCGGAAAAUUGCAGUGGAACAUGGCAGUCUUGAGUACAGUAGAGGUGGGGGGAAUUCGUGGUGUACGGGUGAAAUGCU
RNAcentral lists this ribosomal RNA (355 nucleotides) under uncultured bacterium. RNAcentral's name for it is "partial 16S ribosomal RNA". It matches the Rfam family "Bacterial small subunit ribosomal RNA", at positions 338 to 690 of the family's 1533-position model. The record is from RNAcentral.